UUAAUGAAUGACAGACCAACGUUGCUUUCUACAUUCUCUCUCUACCUGCAAGUCAAAAUAUGUCCAAAAACCCUAACUUUCCUUUCAAAUUUCAAAUGCCUUUUUUUCAUUUUCGUUCUCUCUCUCCCCCUCAAAUCCAGAUCCAAAUGAAAUUUUCGUUCUCUCUCUCCAAGCGAUUUUGUAGAUUGUAGAUCCAGGGUUUCGGGCAUCUUCAAGGUGGGUUUAUGGCAUUUUCAGAUCUCACAAAACUUCAUCAUCAAGAAUAUCAUUCAAGAUCUCUCACCAGAUGCCGUUUCAUGACCAGAUCUGUGAUUAUUUGUGAUUUAUGAUAGAUGUUAUUUGUGGUGUUAUUAUUGUUUGUAUACAUAUGGUCCUCCACCGUAAUGCCGUCGUCAUCACUAUCCACUUCAAACCCUCUGUUUAUUAUGGCUGGUUCAGGCCCCUGUUGUGAUUCUGGUUUACAGUUUCUUUCGGAAAGAUAAGAAUCAGAGCUCGAUAAUUCAUCGUUUUUGUUAUGUUCGUUCGAGUGAGUUAUCAAAAUUCAUAUGUAAACUUGAUUGUAUAUUUUUUAAAAUGUUACACUGCAGUACUUGAAAGCUGUAGCUAGAGGUUUAUUGGGGCUUCCGGUUGGUUAUAGCUGUGCAUCUACAGUCCCAGGGAAUGGUUCAAGUCUCAGGUGGAGCUCUGUGAGGAGAUAUAAAACAGGAGAUUAGUUGCCAGUCGUUGGCGCUGACAUGGAGCGAGAAGGCAGCGGCGGAGGCAGUUGCAGCAGCCUCAUGCUCCGGCCAUGGUAGAGCUUUUGUUCACCAUUUGACUUCUGAUGGUCAACCAGUUUGUGAGUGCUUUAAUUGUUAUAACGGAUCUGAUUGCUCUCUAUAUUCUCGUGAAUGUGAUGCAGUUACCACAAGUGGGAAUCUUACAUUUGCGGAGCCAUUUUGGAUUCAAAAUGUAGCUAAUACUGCAGUCGUCAUAUCGGGAUGGCAUCGUAUGGGUUACAACAUCGCUGGUGUGAGGUUAUUCGUAGUGAGUCAUAGUCGGUGACAGUUACGGCGCCGGAGUGGUGACAGUUGUUCGAAUUGGUCAUCGUCUAACGUGGUGGUGAGGCGACUUCUGUUGAAGAUUUGGGGACAGGGCCAACUUGAUGCGUGUAAGAAGCCUGUGUGGAAUAGGUUUUCUAAUGGAGUCAUGGAUGUGGUUAAACACGUUAUGGCUGCAGCUUGGCUUGCGCUCGGUGAGUGAACUAAACCGACACUUAAGUCGUCUUAGUCGCAGUCAUUAAAAGCGCUUUCUGAUGGUGCAUCACUCCCUGCAAUACAGGUUGUAGUUUUACUUUAGUAUUCUAAUUGAUUGUUUUACCUUUGGGAUUUGGAAAAUUGAAUACAUUGAAUACGUUUACUUGUGUAUAUAGAUGAAAAUUU
RNAcentral lists this long non-coding RNA (1418 nucleotides) under Helianthus annuus (common sunflower). RNAcentral's name for it is "hypothetical non coding rna". The record is from RNAcentral. Lineage: Eukaryota; Viridiplantae; Streptophyta; Magnoliopsida; Asterales; Asteraceae.